This 558-nucleotide long non-coding RNA is filed under the name Homo sapiens (human). RNAcentral describes it as "non-protein coding lnc-CD44-7:4". Lineage: Eukaryota; Metazoa; Chordata; Mammalia; Primates; Hominidae. The record is from RNAcentral.
ACCUUCCGCCACGAUUCUCAGGCCUCCCCAGCCAUGUGGAACUCUCUGCCCUCAUCAUGAGACCAUGCCCAGGCUAGUCUGCUGGAAGGAAGUCAGAGGCACACGGAAGAGAGCCACAUUCAGCCAAGGCCAUUCUAGACCAGUUGUUCCCUGUCACUUCACUAAUUGGCCACAGCACAAGGUUUUGUUGAAGAUUGAAUGAGUGUGUAAAGUGCCCAACAGAAAGUCUGGCACAUGGUACACGGAUGGAGCUGGAAGCCAUUAUCCUCAGCAAACUAAUGUAGGAACAGAAAACCAAAUAUUGCAUGUUCUUACUUAUAAGUGGGAGCUGAACAACGAGAACACAUGGACACAGGGAGGGAAACAACACACACUGGGGCCUGUCCAGCAGUAAGGUUGAGGCAGGGAAAGCAUUAGGAAAAAUAGCUAUGCAUGCUGGGCUGAAUACUGGGUGAUGGAUUGAUAGGUGCAGCAAACCACCAUGGCAUAUGUUUACCUUUGUAAGAAACCAGCACAUCCUGCACAUGUACCCUGGAACUUAAAAUAAAAAUUAAAAUG